GGGCUGCAGUAGGGAAUAUUGGUAAUCUGCGAAAGCGGGAACCAGCAACGCCGCGUGCGCGAUGAAGGCCUUCGGGUUGUAAAGCGCUUUUCGGGAGGAAGAGGAAGGACUGUACUCCCGGAAUAAGUCUCGGCUAACUACGUGCCAGCAGCCGCGGUAACACGUAGGAGGCAAACGUUAUCCGGAUUUACUGGGCGUAAAGCGCGUGCAGGCUGUUCGGUAAGUUGGGCGUGAAAGCUCCCGGCUCAACUGGGAGAGGUCGUUCAAUACUGUCGGACUAGAGGAUGGUAGAGGAAGGUGGAAUUCCGGGUGUAGUGGUGAAAUGCGCAGAUAUCCGGAGGAACACCAGUGGCGAAAGCGGCCUUCUGGACCAUUCCUGACGCUCAGACGCGAAAGCUAGGGUAGCAAACGGGAUUAGAUACCCCGGUAGUC
Molecule: ribosomal RNA, 432 nt
Filed under: uncultured Anaerolineaceae bacterium
Lineage: Bacteria; Bacillati; Chloroflexota; Anaerolineae; Anaerolineales; Anaerolineaceae
Description: bacterial SSU rRNA
Rfam family: Bacterial small subunit ribosomal RNA
Source: RNAcentral